Astatotilapia calliptera (eastern happy) is the source of this 106-nucleotide small nuclear RNA. The record is from Ensembl. NCBI's taxonomy places the organism in Eukaryota, Metazoa, Chordata, Actinopteri, Cichliformes, Cichlidae.
GGGCUUUGGCAAGCGCGUACGCUAAAUUGGAUAUGAUACAGAGAAGAUUAGCAUGGCCCCUGCGCAAGGAAGUGGGCUUGAAUACUCUCAGAUGGAAAACAUGAUA